AUCGCUUCUCGGCCUUUUGGCUAAGAUCAAGUGUAGUAUCUGUUCUUAUCAGUUUAAUAGCUGAUAUGCCCUCUACCAAGGACAAUAUAUUAAAUGGAUUUGGGGAGUCUGGAGUUGGAAUAGCUUACUCUGUCCACUCCUUGCAUUGACCUGGUAUUGCCGUACCUCCAGGAACAAUGCACCUUAC
This is a small nuclear RNA of Ochotona princeps (American pika), 187 nucleotides long. Its record names the gene U2. It matches the Rfam family "U2 spliceosomal RNA". Rfam says of the family: U2 is a small nuclear RNA (snRNA) component of the spliceosome (involved in pre-mRNA splicing). Complementary binding between U2 snRNA (in an area lying towards the 5' end but 3' to hairpin I) and the branchpoint sequence (BPS) of the intron results the bulging out of an unpaired adenosine, on the BPS, which initiates a nucleophilic attack at the intronic 5' splice site, thus starting the first of two transesterification reactions that mediate splicing. The record is from Ensembl. NCBI's taxonomy places the organism in Eukaryota, Metazoa, Chordata, Mammalia, Lagomorpha, Ochotonidae.